RNAcentral lists this ribosomal RNA (383 nucleotides) under uncultured Glomus. Its description in RNAcentral is "SSU rRNA". It matches the Rfam family "Eukaryotic small subunit ribosomal RNA", at positions 569 to 957 of the family's 1831-position model. Lineage: Eukaryota; Fungi; Glomeromycota; Glomeromycetes; Glomerales; Glomeraceae. The record is from RNAcentral.
AGCAGCCGCGGUAAUUCCAGCUCCAAUAGCGUAUAUUAAAGUUGUUGCAGUUAAAAAGCUCGUAGUUGAAUUUCGGGAUCAGUAGGUUGGUCAUGCCUCUGGUAUGUACUGGCCUCACUGGUUCCUCCUUCCUGAUGAACCGUAAUGCCAUUAAUUUGGUGUUGCGGGGAAACUGGACUGUUACUUUGAAAAAUUAGAGUGUUUAAAGCAGGCUAACGCUUGAAUACAUUAGCAUGGAAUAAUGAAAUAGGACGAUCGAUCCUAUUUUGUUGGUUUCUAGGAUUGACGUAAUGAUUAAUAGGGAUAGUUGGGGGCAUUAGUAUUCAAUUGUCAGAGGUGAAAUUCUUGGAUUUAUUGAAGACUAACUACUGCGAAAGCAUUUG